AAUGGAUCUUCCUCCAGUCGAGCCUGGCCAUGACUUCUGACCUACAAAAAUGGUCAGACAACAACUAUUUAUUGGUUUAAGUCACUAAGAUUGAAAUAAUUUGCCAUGCAGCAAUCACAAGUUUGUGUACAUUAGUGUGACAAUUUGUGUGUUUGCAAUGUGUAUAAUGAGUGAAAAACUACAGGAGUUUCAUAUUAAAAUUAGUUACUUAGUCCAGUCUUCCGUAUAUUUUUUCUUUUUUCUAACAUUCAGCACUAAAGAAUGAAACAGAAAGAGUUCUCUGUGGGAGACCGAAGAGUCAGCAUUUAGACAUUGUCCUGUCAUCUAAAAAGGUGAUGACCUAGAAGCUGAAGGAGAUAGAGUGACUAUCUUAAGAUAGUAAGGCACCGAUACUGGAUUGGAGCUUACAUUCCUCAAGUUCUGAAAGUGAUUGAACUUGGACCAAACCCACUGGCAAAACUCUGGAGAGAUGCUGGCUGCAGGGACAGGUGUCCUCACCCUGGCUGGUGCCUGCUGCUUCCCGGUUUUGUUUGGAAGCUACUGAUUUCCAGUACUUCUUGGCCUCCAGGUACAGAUUAAAUGCAGUUACACAAUUUAUUACUGUGUAAUCACUAUUUACCUGGGGCUUUUCAAACAGUAAACCCUAAAUUGCUUUUCCCAGAGGUCAAAAGCCUUUUCUGUUAUCAUAUAAAGUGCUUAAUCACCUCGCACAGAAUUCAUAUAUAGGAGGGGUAAGUGAACAUGGAAAAUAACUGGCCAUUCUGAAAUGUGAGCUUAUUAAAUACCCAGUUAAAAAAAUCCCAUAGAGAGUCUGCUAUAAGCCAGGUAUGGUGGUGUCUGACUAUAGUCACAGCACAGGGAGGCUGAGGCAGGAUUUCAAGUUCAGGCCCUGACUGAGUAACUCAGUGACUAUUUCAAAAUAAAACAAAAUAAGAUUUUAAAAAAG
This 946-nucleotide long non-coding RNA is filed under the name Heterocephalus glaber (naked mole-rat). Its description in RNAcentral is "lncRNA (ENSHGLG00100038872.1)". Lineage: Eukaryota; Metazoa; Chordata; Mammalia; Rodentia; Bathyergidae. The record is from RNAcentral.